UUUCUUCAGGAAAUUUACCUAAGAGCAGAAUUACUGGGUUAUGGAGUAUGCGGAAUUCUCAACUAAGAAAUUCCAAACUGGCCCCCUUACAUUGGUCUGCACUCCUACCAACAGUGCAUCAGGGUUCUUCUGCCUCCACAUCCCUGCCAACCCUAGAUGUUUUUCCAGGUUUCUAAUUUUUACCCUUCUGAUGGAUGUGCAAGUGAUAUGUGUUUAUGGUGUUUUUUGCCUUGUAAACAUUUUUUUAAUGUAGUCAAGUCAAACAAUCUUUUCUUUUGUUGUAUCUGGAUUAUUAGCCAUAGUGAGAGAGCUUUCACGUACACCCAGGUUAUAAAGUUGUUCAUCCAUAUUUCCUUACACUUUUAUCAUUUCCUUUAUUUUACAGGUAAAUCCAUGAUACAUUUGGUAUUUAUUCUUGUGCUAAUUUCUGGAUUUCCAAAAUAUAUUCUUUUGCAAAUGAACCUCUCUCACCAACACCAAAACUCAAGUUCUCAGCAGGUAAAGAGAAAAAUAUUUUCUGGAUCAACAGCUGCAUAGCAGAUAGACGGGGCUGUGUUAAUUGGCACCACCAACUGGAGUCAUCGUCUCAUUAAGUUAAUGAUAAGCCGGUAUCAUUUUCAUGAUCAUCUCUCUCCUGCAUAGGCUAACAGGUCUAACAGGUGUCGACUCAUUGGCUCCCCAUCUGCUGCUUGUCUCCUCUCAGGCAAUGACGUCACUUGGGAUAAGGAGGCACCUCUUUGUAAGAGUCAGUUGAAAUGUUUUUUCUCACAAUUCCCUCCAUUUGAUCCAUAUUUGCCCCUGGAGUUACAAAGAAGAAAUCCAAUCCAUCUCACACAGGGCUGUCUCUCAGAUAUUUGAAAAUUGGAGUCACAUGCUGCAUGGUUCUUCUGGUGUUUCUCUAUUUUAAGAGGUAAUUUAUCUGAACAGGUGGAAUUGAAUUCACAUAAAAAUCACCCUACUUUCCUGUUUUGAUAGUAAAACCUUUCCAGUAUAAAGAUCAUUCUCCUAGUGAUUAAACUUAAAAGACGUUAGAGAAAAUUAAAUUACAAUCCCAAGAAGUAGAUUGCUUCCUUCCUUAUUAUUCUUACUCUGAAUGAUGAAAGAAGGUCUUAUAAUUCUUAGCAAUUUCCCCCAAGCCUCCGGUCAUUCUGCAUUUUAUUCUUCCUUCAA
Non-coding RNA from Equus caballus (horse), 1170 nucleotides. The record is from RefSeq and is a predicted model, not a curated record. NCBI's taxonomy places the organism in Eukaryota, Metazoa, Chordata, Mammalia, Perissodactyla, Equidae.